This 268-nucleotide long non-coding RNA is filed under the name Danio rerio (zebrafish). RNAcentral's name for it is "lncRNA si:ch73-234b20.4 (ENSDARG00000093688.2)". Lineage: Eukaryota; Metazoa; Chordata; Actinopteri; Cypriniformes; Danionidae. The record is from RNAcentral.
GACUGAAGAAAACACAGAGGAAACAAAAGCAGAAGAAACACUCCCUCCAUGUGGACGUGGUCUGUUUCUGGAGAAGCUUGAGCUGGCAGUCGCGAGAGUAAGACAAAGGAUCGAGUGUCCGGGCGAGAAACACGUGCGCCAGAUUCAGCUCAUCUCUUAAUAAACGUUUUAUAAAAUAUAAAUGUUCCCUUUCUUGUGUUGUGGUGUUUAAUUUGUACUUUUAUGCUGUUCUGGUCUGUGAAAUCCAAUAAAUUUGUUUUUUAACACA